Molecule: long non-coding RNA, 4373 nt
Organism: Cygnus olor (mute swan)
Lineage: Eukaryota; Metazoa; Chordata; Aves; Anseriformes; Anatidae
Exons: 8
Source: RefSeq, a predicted model, not a curated record
GACACACGGACAGGAGAGGCGCCGUGCGCGGCUCUGAGGGUCGGGGUGACAACAUGUCGUAGGGGUGACAGGAUCCUAGGGAUUGCAACAGGGUCCUAGGGAUAACAGGAUCCUGUGGGUAACAACAGGAUCUUAGGGAUAACAGGAUGCUAGGGAUAACAACGGGAUCCUAUGGGUGACAGGAUCCUGUGGAAAACAUCAGGAUCCUAGGGAUAUCAGGAUCAUAGGCAUAACAAAAGGAUCCUAUGGAUAACAGGAUCCAACGGUAACAACAGGAUCCUAGGGUUAACAACAGGAUUUGAGGGAUAAUAACAGGAUCCUAGGGUAACAGCAUCCUAGGGGUGACAAGAUGCUACAGUAACAACAGGAUCCUAGGGACAACAGGAUUCUAGGGAUAUCGACAGGAUCUUGGGGAUAACAGGAUCCUACGGAUAACAAGACCCCACAGUAACAACAGGAUCCUAGGGGUGACAGGAUCCUAGAGAUAACAACGGGAUCGUACAGAUAACAACAGGAUCUUAGGGAUAGCAGUAGCACGUAGGGGCUCUGCCCAACAGACUGAGCUUGCCUUUUAUCUCUGCGAGUCGUUCUGUGGUGAAACAGACAGGAGGUUGCACCGUGUUUGUGGCGGAAAGACAGCUCUUUUUGAGAGCCCUUUUUGGCUGUAGCAAUUCGCUCCUCGUCUGCAGAGGCUGUUGACGUGUCAGCCUGGAGAGUAUUGUUGCUUAUUCAGCUGCCUUCUGCUUUUUGGCCCUCCUCACCCUUCUUUCCUCAGGACAUGUACUGCAGAGAUGCAAGUGUUCAGCCUAUGAAAAACCUGUUGCAGUUGGAGGACUUUCUGGUCGGACUAGGAAGUUCAAUGUAGCAGAAGUUUCUUCAGACAGAGCCUUAGGAAGGCGUGUUUGAUUACAGCAGGAGCAAGUACAGUAUUUCGUACAAAAGCUGGCAGCUCUAAGCUCUCAGUUUUUAGAAAUUUGAUUUGAUUCCAUCCUCCCUGGGUUUCAGUAGCUUUACUAGUGUGGACACCAGAACUUAACACAGUUUAAAAUAUCUAUCCAUUAGUGCUAUGUACAAAGCAUCACACUGGACACUUAAAGUGAGAUGCUUUUCUGCUAGAAUUCCUGCAGAAUAAAAUGAUCCAGGAGGCCAUUUAUAUAUAUAUAAAGCUCCUCAUGACUGGAACAGUGUGGGGUAAGCCACACAGCUUUUGCAGAAGGAAGACCGAAUAUUAGAAAGGAGUUGGAGCAGGAGAAGGGAGACUUGAUCUCAUGAAGAAGGAUCUAAUUCAGUCUUGAAAAGCUUUAAUAUACUAACAGCUUUUGUCCUUCCAUUCGAUUCAGCUUCUAUACGAGACAUCAGAAUGUGUCAAAAACCUUUAAGUUCUUUCACUGAGCAUCAGGCAUGUUAAUGCAAAUACAUUAGGAGUAAUCCCCCCGUAAGGAGAGACAGUAACGUAGCCCACACGACAUCAGUAAAGUGUUUACAAGGUAUUAAUAAGCCUACUGUGACAAGAUGUAUUUAAUGGGAAGCAACAAGGAAUUUGUUUUAUUAGUUUUCCUCCACCCUCUGGUAAUAAAUCUUAAAAGCUUCAAUAUUGAUUCAAUGAAAUGAAUGGCUGAAUCGUUCUGGAGAGGCUCUGACAAGUGGACAAAUGCUUCCAUGGUUACAUUGUGCUAUGCAGUAUGGUUACUGAGCUUUGUUGGUUUCCUCCCUCUGCCAUUGAAGUAAAAUAACAAACCACAGGGAAGCACCACACAUGGUGGGCAGAAACUGGAAGCAACUUUAAAAGAUCAAGCUAACUGAUCUUAUACAGAUUUUGAACAAUAUGUUUUUUGUUGAUUUAUACUGUAUACCCGAGACAUGCAUUUCAGUAUUCUCUCCUUCGUGUAUCUCAUUCUCAUUGAGCCUUUUUAUCGCUUGUCUGCACUGCUUCCAACUUUUGAUGUUUUUGAUAAAUUAAAUGGCUAUGUGGGAGUGUGUUUCAUAACAGUGUUAAAUGGAUUAUGUUUUUCUAGGAAUAUUUUUGUAUCAAGUGAUGUUGCUGCAUCACUGCAUAGACUCCUGCAAUACCUAGAUGUGGAAUAAAAAAUCACAUAUAGGACUUACAAGCAAGUUGUUUAGGGUGCUUUACAGUAUAGCAUAAUUAAGAUGUUUGCUUUUCCAUCUUGUGUCUUUUGUACUCAAAUUUCAGGUGUCAGAGGGAAGAGGAUGAUAAUAUAUAAGUAACUUGAUAGUUUUAAAGCAAUAAUUUUAAGGAAAGAAUAAGAAAUAAUGGCAAAUAGUUAUUUCAUUAACUUAAAAAUGUUGCAGAUCAAGCAUCACAUUUAGAGAAAGAAAUCCUGAAGGCCUUGGAUGUUGCUCAGGACAAACUUAAAGGACAUUUAAGGAGAGUAAUUGCAUCUUUUUCCCUUGCAGACCAACUCUGAAAAGAACUGAAAUACUUUUGGAGGACUCCGAAACUAAGAGCAACACAGAUAAAAGAGGUUAUGGACAGUUUUUAAUAUUUUUGCUGUGCUUUAACUUCAGAACAAUGCAAUUCUGGCAUGCUGCAAAUGAGGAAGUGGACACACUUCAUUUGAAGAAACAAGACUGCAACUUUAUUUAGCAACAAUAACGGCACAAGAAGAGCAGGCAGACAGCCCAUGCCAAGUCCUCAUCUUACUGUUUCUCCAUGUGACCUACAAGCCAGUAAGCUCCGACUGGGGUUUGAAAGGAGCCACUGAGCUUUGCAAGACCAAGCGAUGUCUUCAGAGAUGGCAUUCUCUUUGUGUCAUAACAUAAAUUGUGUCAGAAUUGCAUGCUGCAACUUUGAUCAACCAAAUCUGGGAUGCGUUAAGUAGAAACAAAGGGCUUACUUUCUCAUUAUUAGUUCAAUGUUUUACACUUGAACAUAUUUAUAGUAAUGUUUCCUUAAAAGUCAUCUCAUUUUUUGUGAGUCUUGUCAAAUAUAUAGCCAAGUUCAAUAAUAAAAGGUCAUAAUUAGGUGAAUAAUAUUUCUGUUAUAAAUUGUGUUAAAAUAUAGCAACUUCCCAUGAACAGAUGCCAUGGAACAUUUACUUUUCUUUCAUGAUAUUAGGAAUAUUAUUUUUCUUUUUUUUCUUCAGUUAAAAGCUCUUUUUAAACAUUAAUAUCAGUGUGCUCUGCAAGUAUAUCAGAAAGGAGCAGUACAGUGAAAAGGUUAACCUUUGCCUAACUAAUCACAGGUAGGUGAUUUAAAUUUUUGUCAAAAGAAUAAGAGCACAGUCCACUUAGAAGUUCUUAUUUUUCUUUGUCUUAAAUCCUAGACAUCUCCAAAACACAGAGGAUCAAAACCUGAAUUUAUUUAUAACCAUCUGCACAUUCAUCAGUCAGGCAUUAACUACUGAGGCAGAAACAUCACACUCGAACUUAGUCAUGCAGUAUCCUCUAUUUGUAUUUGUUUACUUUGUGCUUUUUCAUGGAUAUGUUUAUUCAUCAGGAAACUUCCCAGUAAAUAUUUUAAUGUUAAAGCAUUCCCAGCCCAUGAAGAAGGACAUGCAGCAGUUCAGUAAAGAGAGCAGUGCAAGUAUUUGGUACUUCUAACCAGACAUCAGGUGAUACCUGACCGUGGUUGUGCAUUUCCUCGGGGUGGGGAUAGCUGGAAAGGACUCUUCAGAGAGCGCAGCUGAGAAGAGGAAAUUAAUCAGAAAUCUCAUUUUAAAUCUUGAAGAACAGAAAACACAAGUGUGAUCCUAAGCUGCUAUGGGAUAGUGGUCAGAAGCUUGAUAAACAGACUAGUCAGCCUCUCAGACAGGUGAGCACACCUCUUUAGUAGGAGUCUCAGACAGUUAUGCCCUGUCCCACAGCAUGACUUGGAGCAUAGUUCCCUGAAGACUAAGCUACCACAGUCAUGUUCUGUAUUUCUGGCUGCUGUUUCUUUCAACACCGCAGUUAGAUCUGCUUCCUGCUGUAAAUCACACUGAGAGGAAGUAAUCACACAAGGAAUGCAUCCUAGACAUCAGCCAACCAAACAGUUAUCCAUAUGGAAUCAAAUAUGAAAUGACAACCACACAGGGAAGAAUUUAAGUGCUUGUGGUGGUCCGUGAUAUUCUUAAUAAUAGUCUCUCUUGCAGGAAUCCAUUUGAAAGAGACUUACUACCAUGAACUAUUGUUCAAAGAAAAUCCUCUUUCUUUAAAACAAAAACGAAAACAAAACAACAAACAAACAAAAAAGGCAUUUCUUACAAGAACAUCGUCUGUAUCUUGCCAAUUAGUUCAUGAAGAGAGGAGCAAGAUCAGCCCGUGUUCUACCAAUACACUAGAACUAAUCGGAACAGCAUCUGACGGAUGUUAGUUGUUCUUUAAAUGCUCCAUUGUAUUGCAAGUGAUUCAUUAAUAAACAGUCAAAAUGUAAA